This 436-nucleotide ribosomal RNA is filed under the name uncultured Pseudoflavonifractor sp. RNAcentral's name for it is "partial 16S ribosomal RNA". It matches the Rfam family "Bacterial small subunit ribosomal RNA", at positions 341 to 792 of the family's 1533-position model. Lineage: Bacteria; Bacillati; Bacillota; Clostridia; Eubacteriales; Oscillospiraceae. The record is from RNAcentral.
ACGGAAGGCAGCAGUGGGGAAUAUUGGGCAAUGGGCGAAAGCCUGACCCAGCGACGCCGCGUGAGCGAUGAAGGUCUUCGGAUUGUAAAGCUCUGUUGAUAGGGACGAACAAAUGACGGUACCUAUCGAGGAAGCCACGGCUAACUACGUGCCAGCAGCCGCGGUAAUACGUAGGUGGCAAGCGUUAUCCGGAUUUAUUGGGUGUAAAGGGUGAGUAGGCGGGUCUGUAAGUCAGAUGUGAAAUGCAGCUGCUCAACGGCUGAAUUGCAUUUGAAACUACGGAUCUUGAGAGUCGGAGAGGUAAUUGGAAUUCCCAGUGUAGCGGUGAAAUGCGUAGAGAUUGGGAAGAACACCAGUGGCGAAGGCGGAUUACUGGACGACAACUGACGCUGAUACACGAAAGCGUGGGGAGCAAACAGGAUUAGAUACCCUGGUA